This 429-nucleotide ribosomal RNA is filed under the name Actinomycetes bacterium. RNAcentral's name for it is "Actinobacteria bacterium partial 16S ribosomal RNA". It matches the Rfam family "Bacterial small subunit ribosomal RNA", at positions 355 to 776 of the family's 1533-position model. Lineage: Bacteria; Bacillati; Actinomycetota; Actinomycetes. The record is from RNAcentral.
UAGGGAAUCUUCCGCAAUGGGCGAAAGCCUGACGGAGCAACGCCGCGUGAGUGAUGAAGGUCUUCGGAUCGUAAAACUCUGUUAUUAGGGAAGAACAAAUGUGUAAGUAACUAUGCACGUCUUGACGGUACCUAAUCAGAAAGCCACGGCUAACUACGUGCCAGCAGACGCGGUAAUACGUAGGUGGCAAGCGUUAUCCGGAAUUAUUGGGCGUAAAGCGCGCGUAGGCGGUUUUUUAAGUCUGAUGUGAAAGCCCACGGCUCAACCGUGGAGGGUCAUUGGAAACUGGAAAACUUGAGUGCAGAAGAGGAAAGUGGAAUUCCAUGUGUAGCGGUGAAAUGCGCAGAGAUAUGGAGGAACACCAGUGGCGAAGGCGACUUUCUGGUCUGUAACUGACGCUGAUGUGCGAAAGCGUGGGGAUCAAACAGG